CUCGAGGAGUCGUUUUCAUCAAGCCUAUGAUAAUGGUAGAGAUGAUGCCCCACCUCAAUCAGAUGUUUAAAUUUUCAAGUUAAUUUCUUAAUCAAUGAAUUCUUCCCAAGGAUUAGGUUUUCAUAGUAGAAGACUUCAUUAUGGCAAUUUAAUGGCAACAAAGAGUAGAAAGCCCUAGCUCCCAAAAUCUUCAAAGCCAGCUAAAUCUGGUGGUGGUAAACAAAAGAAGGCUAUCUUACCAUACUGUCAAGCACUAGAGAAGUUCGCUCCCUAUAGUUGAUCUCCACUUUUCUCAUGUCAGGUUGGAAGUGGUCCCUCGCUGGAUUUAGAAGCUCGUUUGCUUCGAUUAAUGUGAGUCUUUCCAUUCUCACCUUUCAAAUUAUCCAGCUCUUCCAUUCCAGCUUACAGUUAUCCUCCAUUUAUUAUUUGUUACUUGCUUAGGGUUUACCUGCAAUCAGAGUUACUACCCUGUAAUCUUAUUAGAGAGUAUCCGGAAUGUGAUCCUUAAUAUGUGUUCAAGAAAACACAAAAUUCUGGCAUAGCAUGUGGUAAAGUCUUGUUAGAUUGGAACUUUGUUUUUUUUUUGUUUCUUAUUGAAUGUUGAGUCUAGGUUGGGUCUGAUAAAUGAGUAAUCAAAUUCAUGCCAUACCAAAAGUACUCAAACACUGAACAUAUUUGUUUACCUUUUUGGCUAUUUUACAUGAACCAUCGUGGUUUGAGGCAUUAUUGGGGCCUCAGAGUCCAUGGACAGCUCACCAAGACUGCUGGAUUUUCAAGGUUAUUGGUUCUAAAUGUUGGCCCUUGAUUUCAAGGUACAAGGCAAGUGCUAGUGAAGAAACUCAUAUUUGUGUCACCCAUUUGCAUGGCUCAAGUGCUCAACAGCAAGAAAAAAGCUCUUUCAUAUGAGUAUUUUAAUGAUCUCUUUGGUUUGAGUUCAGGAAGUUUAGUUAAUU
Papaver somniferum (opium poppy) is the source of this 953-nucleotide long non-coding RNA. RefSeq lists it as uncharacterized. Lineage: Eukaryota; Viridiplantae; Streptophyta; Magnoliopsida; Ranunculales; Papaveraceae. The transcript is spliced from 5 exons. The record is from RefSeq and is a predicted model, not a curated record.